Long non-coding RNA from Dreissena polymorpha, 458 nucleotides. RefSeq lists it as uncharacterized. The transcript is spliced from 2 exons. The record is from RefSeq and is a predicted model, not a curated record. NCBI's taxonomy places the organism in Eukaryota, Metazoa, Mollusca, Bivalvia, Myida, Dreissenidae.
GUCUAUCACAACAACAUCGUUCCAAGAAAGAAAGCAUAAUAUUAUUAUCCUUUUUGUGUUUUCAGCUGAAUACUUGAUUUAACUUGAACUCAGCAAGAUAUCCAAACAGGAAAAAUAAGGCAAAGUAGUGUUAUUCUGAGUAGAUCUGCCUGGCGGGAUUGAAAGCGAAGGCAGAUAGCAGUGUCGGUCCAAAAUUGCUUGCAUGGAAAAACAACACACAUUACAUUUUAAAUAGUAAAAGGCUAAAAGUAAACAAUAGCAAUAAAUACAGAUGAAAUAAAGACAGGAAUUAGGUUCAUUAUUGAGAUUGAUGCAAAUUAAUGUCAAAAUGUCACUGAAAAACAAUACCGAGUGUUUACGUAGUCUUAGAAUGUGUCUUCGGAACAGGUUUCGGAGUGAUUUUCAAGCAUUUACCCCCCUUAGGACCCCAAGUGCAACAGCCCAAUUGCAAACAGCCC